This is a non-coding RNA of Serratia marcescens FGI94, 96 nucleotides long. NCBI's taxonomy places the organism in Bacteria, Pseudomonadati, Pseudomonadota, Gammaproteobacteria, Enterobacterales, Yersiniaceae. The record is from Rfam.
CAUUUAUUGAGUAUAUGGGGAUGAAUCGCCGACAUUCAACGUCCAGAAUGCAGGAAAAAAAAAUGGGGGAUAAAAUCCCCCAUUUUGCGAUUAACC